UAGCGUAUAUUAAAGUUGUUGCGGUAAAAAAGCUCGUAGUUGGAUUUCUGUUGAGGACGACCGGUCCAUACCAUGUAUGCGCAUCUGGCUCGGCCUCGGCAUCCUCUCGAUAGACGUUUCUGCGCUUGAUUGCGUGGUGCGGAUUCGGGACUUUUACUUUGAGGAAAUUGGAGUGUUCACGGCAGGCAAUCGCCAGAACAUAUUAGCAUGGAAUAAUACUAUAGGAUCUUGAUUCUAUUUUGUUGGUUUCUAGAAUCUAGAUAAUGAUUAAUAGGGACAAUUGGGGGCAUUCGUAUCAACACGUC
Molecule: ribosomal RNA, 305 nt
Filed under: Amoebophrya sp.
Lineage: Eukaryota; Dinophyceae; Syndiniales; Amoebophryaceae
Description: SSU rRNA
Rfam family: Eukaryotic small subunit ribosomal RNA
Source: RNAcentral